RNAcentral lists this long non-coding RNA (221 nucleotides) under Mytilus galloprovincialis (Mediterranean mussel). The record is from RNAcentral. Lineage: Eukaryota; Metazoa; Mollusca; Bivalvia; Mytilida; Mytilidae.
GCUUUCCUUAAUAUGUCUCUUCUAUUACUUUGAAAACAGACCAGACAUGCGGGGAAGGCUAUAUUAAAUGUCGUGAUGGUAAUGAAUGCUUUCCUUAAUAUGUCUCUUACAUUACUUUGAAAACAGACCAGACAUGCAGUGAAGACUGUAUUAAAUGUCGUGAUGGUAAUGAAUGCUUUCCUUAAUCUGUCUCUUCUAUUACUUUGAAAACAGACCAGACA